This 468-nucleotide ribosomal RNA is filed under the name uncultured Pelotomaculum sp. RNAcentral's name for it is "bacterial SSU rRNA". It matches the Rfam family "Bacterial small subunit ribosomal RNA", at positions 912 to 1382 of the family's 1533-position model. Lineage: Bacteria; Bacillati; Bacillota; Clostridia; Eubacteriales; Desulfotomaculaceae. The record is from RNAcentral.
GACGGGGCCGCGACAAGCAGUGGAGUAUGUGGUUAAUUCGUAAGCAACGCGAAGACCUUACAGGGCUUGACAUACUGACUGACCGGUCUGGAGACAGUACCUUCCUUCGGGACAUCGGAUACAGGUGGUGCAUGGUUGUCGUCAGCUCGUGUCGUGAGAUGUUGGGUUAAGUCCCGCAACGAGCGCAACCCCUACGUUUAGUUGCUAACGCGUGAAGGCGAGCACUCUAGACGAACUGCCGUUGACAAAACGGAGGAAGGUGGGAUGACGUCAAAUCAUCAUGCCCCUUAUGUUCUGGGCUACACACGUGCUACAAUGGCCGGUACAGACGGACGCAAAGCCGCGAGGUGGAGCAAAUCCUAAAAAGCCGGUCUCAGUUCGGAUUGCAGGCUGCAACUCGACUGCAUGAAGUUGGAAUCGCUAGUAAUCGCAGAUCAGCACGCUGCGGUGAAUAAGUUCUCGGGUUUU